GAACUUCCGUUAAUUGAUUAUGACGUACUUGUACUGAUUGAGAUUUUAACACGAAGUGAGUGGCGAACGGGUGAGUAACACGUGGGUAACCUGCCCAGAAGUAGGGGAUAACACCUGGAAACAGAUGCUAAUACCGUAUAACAGAGAAAACCGCAUGGUUUUCUUUUGAAAGAUGGCUCUGCUAUCACUUCUGGAUGGACCCGCGGCGUAUUAGCUAGUUGGUGAGGUAAAGGCUCACCAAGGCAGUGAUACGUAGCCGACCUGAGAGGGUAAUCGGCCACAUUGGGACUGAGACACGGCCCAGACUCCUACGGGAGGCAGCAGUAGGGAAUCUUCCACAAUGGACGCAAGUCUGAUGGAGCAACGCCGCGUGAGUGAAGAAGGGUUUCGGCUCGUAAAGCUCUGUUGUUAAAGAAGAACGUGGGUAAGAGUAACUGUUUACCCAGUGACGGUAUUUAACCAGAAAGCCACGGCUAACUACGUGCCAGCAGCCGCGGUAAUACGUAGGUGGCAAGCGUUAUCCGGAUUUAUUGGGCGUAAAGCGAGCGCAGGCGGUCUUUUAAGUCUAAUGUGAAAGCCUUCGGCUCAACCGAAGAAGUGCAUUGGAAACUGGGAGACUUGAGUGCAGAAGAGGACAGUGGAACUCCAUGUGUAGCGGUGAAAUGCGUAGAUAUAUGGAAGAACACCAGUGGCGAAGGCGGCUGUCUGGUCUGCAACUGACGCUGAGGCUCGAAAG
This 736-nucleotide ribosomal RNA is filed under the name Pediococcus pentosaceus. RNAcentral's name for it is "bacterial SSU rRNA". It matches the Rfam family "Bacterial small subunit ribosomal RNA", at positions 48 to 759 of the family's 1533-position model. Lineage: Bacteria; Bacillati; Bacillota; Bacilli; Lactobacillales; Lactobacillaceae. The record is from RNAcentral.